This 76-nucleotide microRNA precursor is filed under the name Prunus dulcis (almond). RNAcentral's name for it is "sRNA ncRNA". The record is from RNAcentral. Lineage: Eukaryota; Viridiplantae; Streptophyta; Magnoliopsida; Rosales; Rosaceae.
UUAUAAAUUUAUAAAAAAAAUGGAAGCUGGGCCAAAACGAUGGCGUUUUGGCCCAGCUUCCAAUUUUUUUUUAAAA